RNAcentral lists this ribosomal RNA (486 nucleotides) under uncultured bacterium. RNAcentral describes it as "partial 16S ribosomal RNA". It matches the Rfam family "Bacterial small subunit ribosomal RNA", at positions 29 to 507 of the family's 1533-position model. The record is from RNAcentral.
AUUGAACGCUGGCGGCAUGCCUUACACAUGCAAGUCGAACGGCAGCACGGGUGCUUGCACCUGGUGGCGAGUGGCGAAAGGGUGAGUAAUACAUCGGAACAUGUCCUGUAGUGGGGGAUAGCCCGGCGAAAGCCGGAUUAAUACCGCAUACGAUCUACGGAUGAAAGUGGGGGACCUUAGGGCCUCGCGGGAUAGGGUUGGCCGAUGGCUGGUUAGCUAGUUGGUGGGGUAAAGGCCUAGCAAGGCGAGGAUCAGUCGCUGGUCUGAGCGGACGACCAGCCACACGGGGACUGAGACACGGCCCAGACGCCUACGGGAGGCAGCAGUGGGGAAUUUUGGGCAAUGGGCGAAAGCCUGAUCCAGCAAUGCCGCGUGUGUGAAGAAGGCCUUCGGGUUGUAAAGCACUUUUGUCCGGAAAGAAAUCCUUGGCUCUAAUACAGUCGGGGGAUGACGGUACCGGAAGAAUAAGCACCGGCUAACUACGUG